GGGUGCGAUCAUACCAGCACUAAUACACCGGAUCCAAUUAAAACACCGCAAUUAAGCGUGCUUGGUUGAGAGUAGUAUUAGGAUGGGUGACCUCUUGGGAAGUCCCCUUGUUGCACGCC
This 119-nucleotide ribosomal RNA is filed under the name Gossypium arboreum. The record is from RNAcentral. Lineage: Eukaryota; Viridiplantae; Streptophyta; Magnoliopsida; Malvales; Malvaceae.